RNAcentral lists this ribosomal RNA (372 nucleotides) under uncultured organism. RNAcentral's name for it is "bacterial SSU rRNA". It matches the Rfam family "Bacterial small subunit ribosomal RNA", at positions 526 to 896 of the family's 1533-position model. The record is from RNAcentral.
CGGGGGGUGCGAGCGUUGUCCGGAAUCACUGGGCGUAAAGGGCGCGUAGGUGGUGUGAUAAGGCUGUGGUGAAAGCCCGGGGCUCAACCCCGGGUCUGCCGUGGCGACUGUCAGACUUGAGGGCUCGAGAGGCAGACGGAAUUCCGGGUGUAGCGGUGGAAUGCGUAGAGAUCCGGAAGAAGACCGGUGGCGAAGGCGGUCUGCUGGCGAGUACCUGACACUGAGGCGCGACAGCGUGGGGAGCAAACAGGAUUAGAUACCCUGGUAGUCCACGCCGUAAACGAUGGGCACUAGGCGCUUGGGGGAUCGACCCUCUGAGGGCCGUCGCUAACGCAUGAAGUGCCCCGCCUGGGGAGUACGGCCGCAAGGCUG